AGAGCAGAGAAUUGCACCCUGGCAUGAUGCCUAUGCCAGCUGGACUGUGUGAUUUUUGUUCUUUAGUAGAAGGAUAACAUGACAUAGCAGGAAUAAUACUGCCUUUUCUUUCUGGCAUGGAUCAAGAGAAAAGAAAAUACAAGAAAACAGACAGAAGAUCCUAUCUGCGACAAUUAAGAGCACUCUAAGAGGAAAACACAUCCCACCACACAAGGCAAGGUACUUCUAUGGAAGGGUGAGCCCUCACAGAUGGAGCAAUGGGGCGCGCACACCUGAACAAGGGAGGGGAAGGAGUUCUUAUCCCUGAUGCAUGUGACCCCUGCUGCUGUGUCCUUCCCCUAUUGGCUAAGGUUAGACCACACAGCCUAAACUAAUUCCGAUUGGCUAAUUCAAAGAGAGCGACGGGGGCUUCUGACAGCUUUGGAGAUUGUGACAUUGGAAUAAAGGAAAAACGUACAGGACUCAUGAAGCGCUGAAAUGUUCACAAAUAUCAAGCAAAAGUCAAUGAAAUUUAUUUUGAGCUAUUUACAUCAUUUAAUAAUUGAGCAAGGUAUACUCCUAUGAACAAAAUUUGGAGCAUGUUUGUCUCUCUCUGCCUGGCGUCUUCAGAAUUUGGAAACUAGUUAUGGUUUAUAAUCAGCUAUAGAAUUUUAACACGUGCUCUCAAAUGCAAGUUUCUGAUAACUUUGGAGAUUGUGACAUUGGAAUAAAGGAAGAGCUGGAAUGUUCAUGAAUAUCAAGCAAAAGUCAUGGAAAUUUAUUUUGAGCUAUUUACAGCAUUUAAUAAUUGAGCAAGGUAUACUCCUAUGAACAAAAUUUGGAGCAUGUUUGUCUCUCUCUGUCUGCCUGGCAUCUACAGAAUUUGGAAACUAGUUUCGUUCCCAGAUUUCCUAAACUUUCCAGAGAAAAUGGUCUUCUCCCUGGCUCAGCAAGAAGAUGAACUUUAAACACUGAGAAACUGGUCAUCUCCCUGGCUCAACCAGAAGAUGAACUUUAAACACUACUCUCAAUGACUUGAUGUUCCCAUCACUACUCCUGUCAUAAAGGGAGGGGACUCAGAUAUUGAGAAUUUUAUGAUAGUGUGAACUGUCUGGUAUGUCAUUUAAGUAAGCCCGUUGCUGAAAUAUUUUCCAUGUUAUUAGAAAGAGCUGAAGAGAGGGAUUGAGAUGGCUUCUUUAUUUUUUGUCUUUUGGGAAUUAAAGGAACCUGGUUCAACAAGGGCCUACACCUAAGUCUCUUGUUGUACCAGAGUACAAUUUAGGACUGCUCCUGAGGAAGGAAUUAGCUAGAAAUCUAGAGAGUAAGGGUAACAGAUUUACAUAGAAUAACAGCCUCAGUAUUUUUGGUUCCUCUCCAGUAAAGAUCACAAAGAAUAUUGCUAAAUCGCUAAAACACCUUUGCAAUAACGUAAGGGCUUACAACUAUAUACCAAUGUAGCUCAGUUACUAAACUGGAGUAAACUAAUUUCUCUUGUGUAGAAAAAUUGGUUGGCUGUGGUUUUAUAGCAGAUCUGCAAUUAUUAAUAGUUAUGCCAAUAAUCGUUUAACAGUGCAUAUGUUAAUAUAUAUGGAAAGACAAUGUGUAUAGACAGAUGUGUAAAAUUGAAAAAUAAACAUAUAACAAGAGAGAAACAUCUAUCGAACAGACAAUAUACAUACACAUCAAACACAACAGCAGUUUUAGUGACCAUAAUAUUUAUUUCUCAUUUUUACAUUGCUUACUUUAGUGACAACUGAAAAUGACAGUUGGCAAUGCAGCUAACAGUUUCAAUAAAAGUAUAAAACAAAAGACUGUGUACAAAGCACCUGUCUUUCCGCUUUUGUAAUCUUCCGUUGGAAAAAAUUUACACACCUAAGUAACCAUCUGUUUUCUUCAAGAAAAAAUCAUUCUUAUUUCUCUCUCUCAUCUUGAAAACAGCUGUCAGCCAGGAGGGCAGAGCUGAAAUUUAUUGCCACAUCACAUGAAGCAUAGAACAGACUCCACUACUCCUUGAGAUUCAAAACUUUGCCUCUCACAAAGUUACCUUUUAUUUUCCUCUUGUUUGUCACUCAUCUCCCCUAGUGUGCUCUUUUUAUUUCUUUUACUAUUAAUAAUAAAAUCUGUGGAUGAC
This is a long non-coding RNA of Homo sapiens (human), 2110 nucleotides long. Ensembl annotates it as long intergenic non-protein coding RNA 320. The record is from Ensembl. Lineage: Eukaryota; Metazoa; Chordata; Mammalia; Primates; Hominidae.